Molecule: transfer RNA, 71 nt
Filed under: Urocitellus parryii (Arctic ground squirrel)
Lineage: Eukaryota; Metazoa; Chordata; Mammalia; Rodentia; Sciuridae
Also listed under: 1 other name
Description: Spermophilus parryii (Arctic ground squirrel) tRNA
Rfam family: tRNA
About the family: Transfer RNA (tRNA) molecules are approximately 80 nucleotides in length. Their secondary structure includes four short double-helical elements and three loops (D, anti-codon, and T loops). Further hydrogen bonds mediate the characteristic L-shaped molecular structure. tRNAs have two regions of fundamental functional importance: the anti-codon, which is responsible for specific mRNA codon recognition, and the 3' end, to which the tRNAs corresponding amino acid is attached (by aminoacyl-tRNA synthetases). tRNAs cope with the degeneracy of the genetic code in two manners: having more than one tRNA (with a specific anti-codon) for a particular amino acid; and 'wobble' base-pairing, i.e. permitting non-standard base-pairing at the 3rd anti-codon position.
Source: Rfam by way of RNAcentral
GUGGCUGUGGCUCAGUGGUAGAGCACUUGCCUAGCAUGUGUGAGGCACUGGGUUCAAUUCUCAGCACCACA